UCCCAGAUGGCUCAGUGGUAAAGAAUCUGCCUGCAGUGCAGGAGACCCAAGUUCAGUCCCUGGGUUGGGAA
RNAcentral lists this transfer RNA (71 nucleotides) under Ovis aries (sheep). It matches the Rfam family "tRNA". From Rfam's summary of the family: Transfer RNA (tRNA) molecules are approximately 80 nucleotides in length. Lineage: Eukaryota; Metazoa; Chordata; Mammalia; Artiodactyla; Bovidae. The record is from Rfam by way of RNAcentral.